RNAcentral lists this long non-coding RNA (3535 nucleotides) under Marmota monax (woodchuck). The record is from RNAcentral. Lineage: Eukaryota; Metazoa; Chordata; Mammalia; Rodentia; Sciuridae.
ACACUGGGGCAGCUGCUGACAGGGCCUGGUUCUCUGUGACGCCAAAGGGUAAAACUAAGUGGAAUAUGUGAAAGCAACACAGAUGUAGACACUGGAUUGCAGCCUCACAGGGAGAAAAGGAUCUUCUAGGGCUUCCAGCCCCAUCGUAAGGUGAGUUGUGGAAUAAUAUUGUAGGUGCAUGGCCUGCUUUUUUUCCAUCCACUGCACAGGAUGAACAACUCAGGUGCCAGUGCUCUGAGCAGGGGGAAGACCCUGCUUUCCUUUGCAGAAAACAGCCACACAGAGGCCUAGACAAGUGCCAGCACAGGAAGGCAGCACAGGGCUGACACCUAUCCCCCAACCCAACUUCAGGCAUUUGUGUCUCAUGAACCCACAGAUCCUCAUAAGACCCUGUUGAGCUGGGAUUAUUGUGGGUCUACUAUAGAUUGGGAACAUAAUCCCAGAGAGGACCACUGAUCUCUGCCGGGGCACACAUGUGUGUGUGUUGGUGUGGGCAGAGCGGGGUGUGGACUCCAGGCCCCCUGGGGCUCACCUGCAUGACUACAGCAGGUUUCACUCCAAGCCACCCUAGGGUUUGUAAAAUCCCCUCCCUGAGCCACAGGCUUGGCUUUGCAGUGGGGUUCACCUCUGCUGCUUUCCUUCUCAGAAACAUGUUUGAUCCCACAUUGCCCUCUUGCUCCACAGUGGUUGCUAAGACAAAAUGGGUAGAUCACAUCUAAAGCAGAUCAGCCUUGAGCUGAGACUGCAUCAGCCAUGAUGCUCCCCCCCCCAGCCAAUUUCCUGUGCUGGGGCUGGGGGUCAUUUCAAACUCUCAACCAGAUUUGCGAUGAGACUCUGCCUCCAAGGGCAUGUCUUGGGGCAUGAGUUAGGGAAGUGGUGGAAAUGGACAUGUGGCAGAGCCCCCCCACCUGCCCCGCCACCUUGUUAUAUGGAUCCCCCACCUGCCUGAAAUCCCACCACUAAAGCCACUCCUUUGUAUCAUUUCUCCUGAGAGUCUCGGAGAAUUGAAACACAUCAAUUAACUCAGCCAUGAGCCCCACGUCAUAGCUAUGAACUGCUUUGAAGUUUAUAAUAUGAUAUCUUAUCUAAAAAAGUUUGUUGGUCAGGCACAUCUGUAAUCCCAGCUACUUGAGAGGCUGAGGCAGGAAGACCACAAGUUCAAGCCCAACCUAGGCAAUUUAGCAAGCCCGUCUCAGAAUAAAACAUAAGAAGGAGCUGAGGAUGUAGCUCAGUGGUAGAGAACUUAAGUAGUAUGCUCAAGGCCCUGAGUUGAAUCCCCAACAUUGAAAAAUAGAAGUUUCAAAAUUUCUAAUUAACACAUAAUAAUUGUACAUAUUCAUGGGGUACAAUGUGAUAUUUUGGCACAUGUAUAUAAUGUGCAGCGAUCUAAUCAGGAAAAACAGCAUCUCCACCUCAAAAAUUUAUCAUUUCUUUGUGUCAGAAACAUUCAAAAUCCUUUCUUCUAGCUAUUUUGAAUACAUAAUAAAUUAUUAAAUUUAGUCACCCUACUGUGCUAUGAUGGAACACUAGAAUUUAAUCCUAUUUAACUGUCCUUUUGUAUCUGUUAAUCAACUUUUCUCCACUCUCUCCUCCUCCCAGACUCUGGAAACCACUAUUCUACUAUGAAAUCAACUCUUCACUUCCUCAUCUGGGUAAGAACAUGGCGGUGUCUUUCUGUGCCUGACUUAUUUCACGUUAAAUGAUGUCCUCCAGUUCCAUCCAUGUAGCCACAAAUGACAGGAUUUCAUUCAAUUUUUUAAAAAUAUUUAUUUUUUAGUUUUAGGUGGACACAAUAUCUUUAUUUUACAUUUAUGUAGUGCUGAGGAUCGAACCCAGUGCCUCAUGCAUGCUAGGUGAGCGCUCUACCACUGAGCCACAACCCCAGCCCCUCAUUCACUUUUAACAACAUUACAUUGUGUAUAUAUUCUCCAUUUCUUUAUCCACUCAUCUGUCAAUAGACGCAGGUUGAUUCCACAUCUUGGCUGUUGUGAAUAGGGCUACAGUAAACAAGGGAGUGCAGAUAUCUCUUGGACAGACUGAUUGCCUUUCCUGGAUGUAUACCCCGUCGUGGGACUGCUGGAUCAUAUGAUGUUCCUAUAUUUAAUUCUUUGAGGAACCUCCAUGCUGUUUUCCGUAGUGACUGUUCUGAUUUCCAUUCCCACCCACACUAUAUGAGAGUUCCUCUUUCACCACAUCCCUGCCAGCAUUUGUUGUUUCUCUCUCUCUCUCUCUCUCUAAAUGGUGCUGGAGAUUGAACCCAGGGCCUUGUGCAUAUGAGGCAAGCACUCUACUAACUGAGCCAUAUCCCCAGCCCUCUAUUUUUGAUGGUAGCCAUUCUAACUUGGGUGAGAUAAUAUCUCAUUGUGGUUAAAAAUAUUUUUGAUCCUCUUAACAGCUAUGAGAGGUAGGGCAGCAAUUUCAGCAUGUCCAUGAAAUAGAUGAGGUCAUUCCUCAGAGAGGCUCACAGAGGUGGAGUGGCCUUCCAUUUGAAUAUAGGUCUUUCUGCUCCUGAUUCUAUACACCUCUGAUAACUGGGAGUUGCCUUGGGGAGCAGAGGUCAAAGGGACACAAAACUGGCAGGUUUGGUAGGAAAGUGAAAGGGGUGAGGGAACAGUUUCUGGAACAGGGGAGUUGGGUCAUCUGUCAGAGCUUGACCAAAGGGGAGCAUGAGUCCCCAGAGCCUUGAAGGUCUUGGCAGGGAAAAGGGUGGCCUGAGCUCUGAGGAGUCAGAGGCUGAGUUCUGGUUGGGCCUGUUCAGAAGCUGAAGCCAGAGCUGGAAGAGCUGGAGGGAUCUCUUCUCUAGGCUCUGUCUGCCCUCUGGGCUCUGUGAACCUCUCAGCUCUGCUGCCUCUGGCGUGCAGGGUCUCUAGUGAGUCUGUCAGCCCUGACCUAGUCACGGGGUUAACAACUGUGCUUCUCAUGUGACCUUGGAUGAGUCAAGAGGGAAAGCAGGGGGGCUGGGGUUGUGGCUCAGUGGUAGAACGCUUUGCUUUGCAUGUGCGAGGCACUGGGUUCGUUCUCCAGCACCACCACAUAAAAAUAACUAAAUAAACAAAAUAAAGGUCUCGUGUCCAUCUACGACUAAAAGUAUUUAAGAGAGGGGGGGGGGAAGCAGUUGCCAAGGGCUUUCUGGGGGGAUUCCCAGGAUGCAGGCAGUUCAAGGCUCUAGGGGACAAAGGCCUUCGGGUGUUCUGGAGGCUGGGCCUCCACAGGACUCAACUGUGAAGCCACCUUCUUGCCUGGAUCGUGGGCCACUUAAAAUAACCUCAGACCUAACACUAUUUUUCUCCUGCUGAGUGGCUUCAGUGUGAGAGGAGCACAAAGGCCAUUGGUGGUGGGGAAAGGCCUGGUUCAGUGCCAAGCAGCACAACCACAGCAGGAACCCAGGCCUUAGGCAGACUGGCCACCAUUUCCUGAGACCUAGUACCUGCUCUGGGCACUUUGUUUAUUUAUAUACUUACUUAGAUUUUGAAAUCUAUUUUUGGUACAAUUAUAUACAUAUGCUAUAAAAUAAAAGAUAGAACUAGACCAGGAG